Molecule: ribosomal RNA, 433 nt
Filed under: uncultured bacterium
Lineage: Bacteria
Description: bacterial SSU rRNA
Rfam family: Bacterial small subunit ribosomal RNA
Source: RNAcentral
ACGAACGCUGGCGGCAGGCUUAACACAUGCAAGUCGAGCGCCUGUAGCAAUACAGGAGCGGCAGACGGGUGAGUAACACGUGGGAACGUGCCCAAAGGUACGGAACAACUCCGGGAAACUGGAGCUAAUACCGUAUGUGCCCGAGAGGGGAAAGAUUUAUCGCCUUUGGAUCGGCCCGCGUCUGAUUAGCUAGUUGGUAGGGUAAUGGCCUACCAAGGCGACGAUCAGUAGCUGGUCUGAGAGGAUGGCCAGCCACACUGGGACUGAGACACGGCCCAGACUCCUACGGGAGGCAGCAGUGGGGAAUAUUGGACAAUGGGCGCAAGCCUGAUCCAGCCAUGCCGCGUGAGUGAUGAAGGCCUUAGGGUUGUAAAGCUCUUUCGCCAGGGACGAUAAUGACGGUACCUGGAUAAGAAGCCCCGGCUAACUUCGU